GUCAAUUUUUCAAGUCAUCCACUUGGCCUUCUUCCCAGAGUAUCCUACUUUCUCUAAUAAAUUCUCACUUUGCUUAAAAGAAAUUCUCUCUCCUUCUUUAAACCUUGCCUGUGUCUCUCAUUUGAAUUCUCUGCGUUGAGAAGUCAAACUACCAAGUUUGCUGCAGAGUUGCCACUCUGGAGUUUCUUCGGACAGCUCACCAGCUGGUAAUGUACUUCGGUGCCAUGACUCAGAUCCAUCAUCUAGUGUUUACCCCACCUGUGUUUAACAAAGAGGCCACCAUCUCACCUUGAGCAGACAUCCAGACAGCAUUAGAUCUGCAAGAGAUUUAUUGGAGAAAAUGACUGUGAAGAAUAGAAGAAAAACUUCAGACCACAAUGCAGAUUUGACCUGUGUGAAGAAGAGUGGAAAGAAGGAGGUUUGAGCAGAAAAAGCAUCAGACUACAGUGAAGUUCUGAGAAAAAUAUGGCCAGGGUAAAGCAUCCUCCAGUCAAAGUCACCUGUCAGAGGAGUCCUACUUUCCAAAGGAAUGACUCAGCAUCUUACAGAGUUCUCUCAGUAAUUGGCUGGGAGCAGCAUAGGAGAAGGAGAGCUUUGAUAUAGAUGUGAGUCUACAGAAGCCUCAGCUGGGAUUGUCAGUCAACUAUUCUCCCUAAAGCAGGAGAUUUGAGUGGCUUAUUUCCAUGGCCACUACUCAAUAAGUAGUACAGAGGCUUAAGCAAUCCACCACGGCCUCACAAGUAUUUAGGACCAAAGGCUCAUACCACCACACAGAGCUAAUCUUUAUUUUUUUAAUUUCGUAGGGUCAGAGGUCUCACUAUAUUGUCCAGACUGCUCUCGAAGUCCUGGGCUCAAGAAAUUCUCCUGCUUUGGCCUCCCCUCAAAGUGCUUGGAUUACAGGCAUUAGACACUGUGCCCAGCCAGUAUUUUUUUUAACCAAAGAGGAGAAUCUUGUUGAGUCUUCUGAAAUGACAUUUUAACAUCUUUCUUUUGAUGUAGACUUUGAUGAUGCUUUAUUGCUUCUUUAUUUCAUAAAUUGACUUUAUUUUAACUUGUAAAAUAUCAAACUACCAAAAUUCCAGAGAAUACUUCAAAAAAUUUCUGGAUACCUAAGAUUUAUCUUUAUUGUUUAUUUAAACCUUUGGGUCAGCCGUUUUCUUCCUCUAUUGGGGAAUCUUUUAUUUCUAUCAUCCUGCCUUAGCUCCAGAUUUUUUUUUAAAUUUUAUUUUAAAGUAUAUGAGUAGAUUACUUGGGCAUAAAAUGUUACCGUAAUGCUGAACAUCAGAUGUCUUCUACUCUUCUUGUUUUAAAACAUUAUAGAAGACUUUUACAUCAAAACUAGGAUGAAAAUAUUAAAAAGUGGUUGUAGAAAUGAAUUAUAAAUAACGUUUUUUCUUCUGAUUGUGUUUGAAAACUAUAAAUUCUCUCAGAUGAAUAAUAUUUAUUAUAACAUAAAUGUUUUAGUCAUAUAGAUAUUUAAAGAUCACUGAAUUUAAUAGUAAUACAUCACUUCCAGUUUUGUUAUUUUAAUUAUAAUAUGAUUAUUUUAUGACAUAUCAAAAAUGGGUUAGAAUUAAUCUCUAUAACAUUUUAAACUAGAAAAUUUUAAUAUAGCUCUUCAAAAUUAGAUUUAUGUAUCCAAUAUACAAAACUUGGAUGAGUGUAAUUUAUUCAUAGGAUGAUUUCUAACUAUCAGUGGGGGCACCCCUCAUUUAUUAAAGCAAUUCAUUUAAUGAAUUCUCAACAAAUUCUGCCUUGGGCUGGAUAUGCAUAAUUUGUAUCCAGUGAAAAUUAGAUAUCUUCAUCUCAGGAAGUAUUUUACCUAAAAAUAAAAGAAAAUAUUGACUUUAUACUACUCUUAUUUUUUCUGAUUCUUUUCAUUAUUUCAGAUGAAUUUCAUUAUGGUCUUGUUCCAGGUUGUUCACGUUAAAACCUAUUUCAAUCAACAUGAUUUUUCUUUCUUUUUUUUUUUUUCUUUUUUUUGAGACGUAGUCUCGCUGUCACCCAGGCUAGAGUGCAAUAGCACAAUCUCUGCUCACUGCAACCUCCAACUCCUGGGUUCAAGUGAUUCUCCUGCCUCAGACUCUCAAGUAACUGGGUUUACAAGUGCCUGCCACCACUCCUGACUAUUUUUUUCUAUUUUUAGUAGAGUCGAGGUUUCACCAUGUUGACCAGGCUGAUCAUGAACUCCUGACCUCAGGAGAUCCACCUGCCUUGCUCUCCCAAAGUGCUGGGAUUACAGGCAUGAGCCACCGUGCCCGGCCAACACUAUUUUUCCUUUGUACUUCUUGCUACUUUAUUGAAAUGAGCAUGUUGCUAUAUCAAAUUGAGCUCUAACACUUAAUAGUUAAGUAAACUUGGGAACGUUUUUUUUUUUUGUAUCAGUUUUGAUAAUAUUUAGGUAUAUACCUAUGAAAAAGACUGCUAACUCAAACCUAAGAUUUGUUUUCCUCCUGAUUUAGAAUAAGAUAACAUUUGAAAUAACUCCAGUUUCCUUUGUGACUACCUAUGGCUGAGUAUAAUAUGGCUUUUGAGAUACAGGAAAAGGGAAGUGUAUAAAAUUCAGGACGGUUCUUUUAAGACACAGCUUGUGUCUCCUUUUUCCCCCUUUUCUUUUUCUGAUUGACUAAAAUGUAGAUGUCAAGUCUGGAGCAUCCAAAUAAAUCUUGAGGAGACUUGGAGAAUAUAAACUCUGCAGGGUGGAACAAAAUAAUAGAAAGUUAUGUCAUGGAAGAUUUUGUGGAAUUUAGCCUCAAUACAAGCUCUGAACUAAUUUUUCCUCCCUAAAAAUAGUAGUAAAUUGAAACCACUAUAUUUUCUUUUCAGAUCUCCUUCUUCAUUUUUUAUAAAUUUCUCAAUUAUCUGUAUAAGAAUAAAUAUUUAUAGAGACAGAUUCUUGAUCCAGGUGCUUAUAAUCAAAUCUUGCUUUUAACACUUAAUAAUAGCUGUGUAAACUUGGGCAAGACAUUUUGCCUAUUUGUGUUUUGGUUCACAAUAGCAAAGACUUGGAACCAACCCAAACGUCC
Molecule: long non-coding RNA, 3026 nt
Filed under: Homo sapiens (human)
Lineage: Eukaryota; Metazoa; Chordata; Mammalia; Primates; Hominidae
Description: HSALNT0192282
Source: RNAcentral